This 507-nucleotide ribosomal RNA is filed under the name uncultured fungus. RNAcentral's name for it is "SSU rRNA". It matches the Rfam family "Eukaryotic small subunit ribosomal RNA", at positions 569 to 1078 of the family's 1831-position model. The record is from RNAcentral. RNAcentral also lists the same sequence under 1 other name. Lineage: Eukaryota; Fungi.
AGCAGCCGCGGUAAUUCCAGCUCCAAUAGCGUAUAUUAAAGUUGUUGCAGUUAAAAAGCUCGUAGUUGAAUUUCGGGAUCAAUAUAUCGGUCGUGCCUUGGUACGUACUGGUAUCAUUGGUUUCUCCUUUCUGACGAACCAUGAUGUCAUUAAUUUGGUGUUAUGGGAAGUUAGGACUGUUACUUUGAAAAAAUUAGAGUGUUUAAAGCAGGCUUUAGCUUGAAUACAUUAGCAUGGAAUAAUGAAAUAGGACGUUCGAACCUAUUUUGUUGGUUUCUAGGAUCAACGUAAUGAUUAAUAGGGAUAGUUGGGGGCAUUAGUAUUCAAUUGUCAGAGGUGAAAUUCUUGGAUUUAUUGAAGACUAACUACUGCGAAAGCAUUUGCCAAGGAUGUUUUCAUUAAUCAAGAACGAAAGUUAGGGGAUCGAAGACGAUCAGAUACCGUCGUAGUCUUAACCAUAAACUAUGCCGACUAGGGAUCGGAUGAUGUUAAUUUUUUAAUGACUCA